CAGCGUGGAUUAGGCAUGCAAGUCGAACGGGAUCCGCAAGGUAGCAAUACUGCGCGGUGAGAGUGGCGGAUGGGAGGAGCACGUGAGCAACCUGCCCUGGAGAUGGGGAAAACCGUUGGAAACGACGGCUAAUACCGAAUGUGGCGGCCGAUGGCAUCAUUGGACCGCUGAAGGGGGCCGCAAGGCUCUCGCUCCGGGAUGGGCUCGCGCACCAUCAGCUAGUUGGCGGGGUAACGGCCCACCAAGGCUUACGGUUAGCUGGUCUGAGAGGAUGACCAGCCCCCACUGGGACUGAGAUACUGCCCAGACUCCUACGGGAGGCUGCAGUCGAGGAUCAUUCGCAAUGGACGAAAGUCUGACGAUGCGACGCUGCGUGGAGGAUUGAAGGCCUUCGGGUUGUAAACUCCUGUCAUGAGGGAAGAGGCGAGGGGACCUAAUACGUUCUUUAGUUGACUGUACCUCAAGAGGAAUGGGCGGCUAACUCUGUGCCAGCCGCAGC
RNAcentral lists this ribosomal RNA (499 nucleotides) under uncultured bacterium. Its description in RNAcentral is "bacterial SSU rRNA". It matches the Rfam family "Bacterial small subunit ribosomal RNA", at positions 40 to 518 of the family's 1533-position model. The record is from RNAcentral.